Molecule: ribosomal RNA, 416 nt
Filed under: uncultured prokaryote
Also listed under: 1 other name
Description: bacterial SSU rRNA
Rfam family: Bacterial small subunit ribosomal RNA
Source: RNAcentral
UGGGGAAUAUUGCACAAUGGGCGGAAGCCUGAUGCAGCGACGCCGCGUGGGGGAUGACGGCCUUCGGGUUGUAAACCUCUUUCAGUGCAGAACAAGGCUCUUUGUGGGUUGAGGGUAUGCGCAGAAGAAGCGCCGGCUAACUACGUGCCAGCAGCCGCGGUAAUACGUAGGGCGCGAGCGUUGUCCGGAUUUAUUGGGCGUAAAGAGCUCGUAGGCGGUUUGUCGCGUCUGCCGUGAAAUCCUCUGGCUUAACUGGGGGCGUGCAGUGGGUACGGGCGGACUGGAGUGCGGUAGGGGAGACUGGAAUUCCUGGUGUAGCGGUGGAAUGCGCAGAUAUCAGGAGGAACACCGGUGGCGAAGGCGGGUCUCUGGGCCGCAACUGACGCUGAGGAGCGAAAGCAUGGGGAGCGAACAGG